Molecule: long non-coding RNA, 1571 nt
Filed under: Pan troglodytes (chimpanzee)
Lineage: Eukaryota; Metazoa; Chordata; Mammalia; Primates; Hominidae
Description: long non-coding RNA NONPTRT005712
Source: RNAcentral
CAUGUGAAAUAAGUUACUUAUAAAGAAUGUUUGUAGCACUGCUAUUCAUAACAAUCUCAAAUCAGAACUAACCAAAAAGCCGGGCAGUGGGGAAUUGGCUAAGAAAAUCACAAUCUAUAAAUGUAAUGUAACCCAAUGUUACCUUUAAGCACAAGUAAACAGUGAUUAAGGUGGAAAUUUGUAAAAAGCAGAAUUAAGAUAGUGCUUAGACAUGGAUUACAACGAUGUAAAAUGUGAAAAUCUCUAAGAAGUCAGCAGAUAAACUGAAGAGAUGUCCACAGUUAGAUGUACAAGUUUAGGGAGUUCCCUAUUUUCUGUUAGGUUGCUUAAGUUCAUCAACCUCUGAGCUUGGUCUUAAGCAAGCAUGAAUAGUUCUACUGAUUAAUGUUGCAUUUUGACUUAUGCUGCUAUGCCAGGGAGGAUGAUGGGCUGUUUUUUCUUUGAUAAACAGCUUCUAUGUUCUCAUUUAUCCAUUCAACAAAUAACAAUGUUUAUGUGCCAGGCACUAUAUGAAACUGCAUGGAUACAAUAGUGAACGAGUCAGACAUGGUUCCCGGCCUCCAUGGCUCUUGUGAUUUAGUGGGAAGGAAGGACACAACACCAAAAAUCAUAUGUGAUUUGGGCACACUGAAAGGAUUCAUGAUUCUGAGGAAUUAACAAGGAAAGCAAAUUAGUCAGAUGCACUGGGGAUGAUUUCUUUGAGGAAGAGAUGACAUAGAAUAUUAUCUGUUGAGGACUAUGGGAGAGAGUGCAUGAGGGAACAGCAAAUGGGGAGACGGGAAAGGGAGAAAAGAAAGUGUGUGUUUGACGAACUAAAAGAAGGCCUGCAGGGCUGGAACACAGGAAGCUAAGGCAAGAGUGGUAUAGACUGCAAAGAGGCAGGGAAAGUGCGAAGAGACCAGGUUAUACAGAACUUUCUUAAAGAUAUUGGCAUAAUAUAAAAUGGAGUGGGGGUGAAGAAUAUAAGUGAACACUAAAAAACCCUUUAUAAGCUAGUCCAUCAACCCAUGGUAGCAUUGGCAAUAGAAAUACAUGGAUUUAAAGGAUUCUUAAGAUGUAGAGCAACAGGACUAGGAGGCUGAUAAAUGCAAAGUGAGAGGAAAGUCAAGGAUGACUCCUAGAUUUCUGGCUGGAGCUGGGUUGCACAGUGGUGCCAUUUUCCGAGGUGGGGAACACUGAUGGAGCAAGUUUGAUAAGGCAAGAGCAGUUUGGGGGUUUGUUGGGUUUGAGGAGCCUAAGAAAUAUCUAAGCGAAGAUGACCAGCAGGCAGGUAAAUGGAUUACAAGUUGAAGUUCAGGAGAGAAGUGUACAUGUGAAGGGCGUCAAUCAGUCAUUGACCUUGGUAGUGAAUGGGAGAGCCUAGCAAGUAUGUACAGGCUGAAAAGAAGAGGGCUUAUGAGACAAAACCCCGAGAAGCUAUAGCAAGUAAAGAAGAAACUGGCAAAUAAGAGAGAGAUCAAGCUGGGUGUGGUGGCAUGUACCUGUAGUCUCAGCUUCUCAGCAGGCUGACGUGGGAGGAUUGUUUGAGCCUAGGAAUUCAAGGCUGCAGUGAGCUAUGAUGGUGACAGCCU